RNAcentral lists this ribosomal RNA (92 nucleotides) under Pediococcus pentosaceus. Lineage: Bacteria; Bacillati; Bacillota; Bacilli; Lactobacillales; Lactobacillaceae. The record is from RNAcentral.
UACCUGUUCCCAUGUCGAACACAGAAGUCAAGCUUCUUAACGCCGAGAGUAGUUGGGGGAUCGCCCCCUGCGAGGGUAGGACGUUGCCAUGC